GUGUUCACUUCAGCAGCACAUAUACUAAAAAAUUGGAAUGAUACAGAGAAGAUUAGCAUGGCCCCUGCACAAGAAUGACAUGCAAAUUCGUGAAGCAUUCCAUAUUUUU
This is a small nuclear RNA of Tursiops truncatus (common bottlenose dolphin), 109 nucleotides long. Lineage: Eukaryota; Metazoa; Chordata; Mammalia; Artiodactyla; Delphinidae. The record is from Ensembl.